GUUUUAAUAGUUUAAUAAAAACUUUGGUCUUGUAAACCAAAAAUGAAAUAAAUUUCUUAAAGCU
Molecule: transfer RNA, 64 nt
Filed under: Tenuipotamon yuxiense
Lineage: Eukaryota; Metazoa; Arthropoda; Malacostraca; Decapoda; Potamidae
Description: tRNA-Thr
Rfam family: tRNA
About the family: Transfer RNA (tRNA) molecules are approximately 80 nucleotides in length. Their secondary structure includes four short double-helical elements and three loops (D, anti-codon, and T loops).
Source: RNAcentral